UCUAGCAGAACUGAUAGUGACGAUGAAGUAAGAAUAACGUACAAUGUGUCACUGAGCCAACAAUCCAUAGGUGAAGUGUUUGGUAGUAGUCAAGGGUUGACUGAUGAGAGCAAAGAUCCCGGAGUUGAUGUGUUUGGUGGUGAAACUACUGGGCUUGCGGAGGGUAGGAUGAAAUCCUUCCAGUUGGAUAGAUGCACAAGGCUUGAAGACGGUGAUGGUUGUUGUAAUAAAGACUUGGGUGCUGACUUCCUCAAAACAUGUUCUUGUCCAUUUUGCCUGACGG
RNAcentral lists this long non-coding RNA (283 nucleotides) under Linum usitatissimum (flax). Its description in RNAcentral is "long non-coding RNA (LUSI_LNC000971)". Lineage: Eukaryota; Viridiplantae; Streptophyta; Magnoliopsida; Malpighiales; Linaceae. The record is from RNAcentral.